GUGGUGGCUCAGUGGUAGAGCACUUGCCUACCAUAUGUGAGCCACUGAGUUCGAUUCUCAGCACCACA
This 68-nucleotide transfer RNA is filed under the name Marmota marmota marmota (Alpine marmot). It matches the Rfam family "tRNA". From Rfam's summary of the family: Transfer RNA (tRNA) molecules are approximately 80 nucleotides in length. Their secondary structure includes four short double-helical elements and three loops (D, anti-codon, and T loops). The record is from Rfam by way of RNAcentral. Lineage: Eukaryota; Metazoa; Chordata; Mammalia; Rodentia; Sciuridae. RNAcentral also lists the same sequence under 1 other name.